UACGGAGGGUGCAAGCGUUGUCCGGAUUUAUUGGGUUUAAAGGGUGCGUAGGUGGUAUUGUAAGUCUGGUUUGAAAGCUGGUCGCUUAACGAUCAGAUGUGGCUGGAAACUGCGGUACUUGAAUGGAUUGGCGGUAGCCGGAAUGGGUCAUGUAGCGGUGAAAUGCAUAGAUAUGACCCGGAACACCGAUUGCGAAGGCAGGCUACUACGAUUUGAUUGACACUGAGGCACGAGAGCAUGGGUAGCGAACAGG
This 253-nucleotide ribosomal RNA is filed under the name uncultured bacterium. RNAcentral's name for it is "partial 16S ribosomal RNA". It matches the Rfam family "Bacterial small subunit ribosomal RNA", at positions 524 to 776 of the family's 1533-position model. The record is from RNAcentral.